AGUCUGCUUCUCACUGCCUUCCUUCUAGCACCCAGUAAAGGAACCAGACAGCCUCUUUCACAGCAGAGGCUCCCAGCAUCUCUGAGCUGAGGCUCUCUAAUGUGUGCAGCUUUGUUCUAGUUUCAUGGCUUGAGUGGGAACCACAUGACUUGGCUCUGCUAGCUGAGAAACUACUUCUCCCCUGUGGGGCAUUGGGCUAUGCAAAGACAGUCUGGUCUCUAGUCAAGCUGAAGUGGAACCCCGGGACCUGGUGGUGAUAAUUCAUCUACAUGGGAUGGAAGGAGUUCUCUCAUGUCACCUAGAACCCUGGCUCCUGUCGAAGUUAUCGCCCCCUUAGCCCCAACAAGAGAAGCAUGGUUAGUAGUCAUGUGGGGCAGUGUCCCAAGCUUCUGACCUUCAGGUUAGACAUCUCCCCAGUUACCUAGCAACAGAAAAGAUAGCAGCAUACUUUAAGAGGGGCUGUUUGGCCCCUUCUCACUCUCACUCCUCUUGCUCUUACUCCUCUUACUCCCCUUACUCUCUUCUCCUCUCUCUCCCUCUUACUCUCUAGCCUUUCUUCUCUCUCUCCCUUUCCUCUUUGUCUCUUCUUGGCCAUGGCUGGUCUCUCUCUCUCUCUUUUACCUUCUCUCCUUUCUCCCUGCCUUUCUAUAAUAAAGCUCUGUCUCUGUUCAUCUGCGAUUACUCUCACCUCCGUGGAAACCUCUCUCCCUAUGCCCUCUCUCCCAUAACCCUGGGGCUACAGGGUGUCGUCCCUAGUGCCCCGAUUGGGGGCUUUCCCUUGUACCCCCCCCCCCCCCAUCAAGAGGGGUCAGUGGCCCUGGCCGAGUGGAAAGCAUCUGGCAGCCUUCCCAUGUCUGCCUGCCCAGAGCAUAGGAGGAACUCUGGCCAGCUGUGGGCUAUCCCCCCUCCCCCCUCUUCCCCAGUCCCCUUUUUAGUUACCACACUCCUCUCCUCCUAGACUUAUAUCAAUUGUGUGUGUGUGUGUGUCCAUCUGUGCCUGGAGCUGACCAUGUGCCAAACCUCUCGUACCCAAAUUCCUCCCAGAGAGAAUUGGUCUCCCAGGAGUGCAGACACACAGGCUUAUAGGAGAGACAAGCUACAAUCAGAGACAGCAAGACCAGCUAACACCAGAGAUAACCAGAUGGCAAGAGGCAAGUGCAAGAACAUAAGCAACAGAAACCAAGUCUACUUGGCAUCAUCAGAACACAGUUCUCCCACCACAGAAAGCCCUGGAAACUCCAACACACCUGAAAAGCAAGACUCUGAUUUAAAAAUCACAUCUCAUGAUGAUGAUAGGGGUUUUAAAGAAGGACAUAAAUAACUCCCUUAAAGAAACACAGAAGAACACAGGUAAACAGCUAGAAGCCCUUAAAGAGGUAACAAACGUCCCU
This 1391-nucleotide long non-coding RNA is filed under the name Mus musculus (house mouse). RNAcentral's name for it is "long non-coding RNA chr16:5289631-5291022". Lineage: Eukaryota; Metazoa; Chordata; Mammalia; Rodentia; Muridae. The record is from RNAcentral.